GGCGCCCAACACAAUGCCAGCCACACUGAUAGCACGGAUCCUUUCAAAGAACAUUUAUUGAGCACCUAUGUGCCAAAAACCGAGGUGGGGUCUGUGGAGGCAGAAUCAAAUUUGGCAAAAUCUGCUAGACAAACCGAGAUGUGUCGAGGUUUAAAAAAGGGUUUGAGGACUCAGCGUCGGCGCCCCAGUUCUGAUUAGUGGAACCAGAUAUCCUAAACCCGAGUGACCAACUCCAGGCCGUUAGCGCUGCACGCUCUCCCGAUGCCCCACCCCCGAAAUGAGGCCCGCAUGCGCAUACAGCUAUCGCUCGGACGCACCCCCCGGAAGCACUGGCAGUUUCAGGGCGGGACCGGGAAGCGCUUCCGGGGGCGGGCGGCACAGGCUGAGGCGGUCGGCUGCGACAACUUGAACGGGCUGGGUGCUGCCGGCGGAGAGGGCCCCACGGACGGGCUAUGUGAGCGCGAAGUCCUUGAAGUCGAUGUUAUUUUAAAUUGAAGCAGCACCAAGAAAUGGAUCUCUUUUCCGCAUUCAUUCUUACUGCUUUUUGAUGACCAUGACAUAAGGAACUUUAUGCCAAGAAUACAUCUUUGCAUUAGGUAAGCUAUAAACUUGCUCAUAAUUACAAUUUUUAACUGUAUUUAUUGCAAUGGUUUCUUUUUCAACCAAA
This 667-nucleotide long non-coding RNA is filed under the name Dasypus novemcinctus (nine-banded armadillo). RNAcentral describes it as "lncRNA (ENSDNOG00000050092.1)". The record is from RNAcentral. Lineage: Eukaryota; Metazoa; Chordata; Mammalia; Cingulata; Dasypodidae.